Molecule: long non-coding RNA, 1038 nt
Organism: Xiphias gladius (swordfish)
Lineage: Eukaryota; Metazoa; Chordata; Actinopteri; Istiophoriformes; Xiphiidae
Exons: 3
Source: RefSeq, a predicted model, not a curated record
GGGUUAAGACCUGGUUCAAGGGUUCAGGUUAGAACUAUGUUUAGGUUAGGGUUAGGCUAAGGGGCUAGUGAAUGCGUUAGGUCAAUUAAUGUCCCGCAAAGAUAGAAGUACAAACGUGUGUGUGUGUGUGUGUCAACAUGGCAAAAUAUGGUCCUGGAGACAACUACUGUAGUCAGAACUAGCACAGAGUUAGUGAAGACGAGGGUUCAGAAGGAGAGGAAGAAGAAGCAGAGCACCGACAUGAAGAUGACCAGUUUAAGACCGGUUUUGGUCUCAAACUAAAAAGUGAAGAUGAUGCAGGAUCUGGCUCUCUGAGUCUAAUAAAGGGACUGCUGGACAGAGAGUGGAGCAGAUGAGGAUCAGCAGUGGACAUUUUCUACAAGCUCUUUACAGUAAAACUCCAGAAGCUGCCCUGUACAGCCUGAAGAUGGUGCAACAUGAAACAAAGCAGUGGAGCGGCUUCCGAGAGAAAAUGGCAGCAAUGAUAGAUGAUAAUAAUCUCAGAUAUCUGCCAUACUUCACAUUGUGUCUUCUGUAGACAGCAGCGCUUUGGCAAGUGUCACUUUGUUCCAGAAAGAUUUUGUGACAACAGCAGGGCGACAUCCAAAAUUGACUCUAUGGAAACAAUUGGACACAAUCAGUGCUAUGUGGAAGAAAUAUAUUCCUUCUUCACGAGAAUCUACAUCAGAGAGAUAUUUUGAAGACGCAGAUUUUAUUAUUUUCAAUUUUUGGAAAUUCCAGCGGAGAGAUUGUUUUUAAGAACAGAAGAAAGUCAUCUUGCGAACCAUCAGCAAAGGUUACAAUGAUAUGUUAUUAUUCUGACAACAGUGACAAACAAAAUCCUGACCAUAUCUGAAAAUCAUAUCUUCAAGAUUUUUCAAAAGGAACAACAAAACAAAGAAGCUUAAGUGCUGUAUCUUUCAUUCAUUUUAUAUCAUUUUAAGGCAGCUUUUUGCUGACUGGUUACUGAGAAAAUGCAAUGCAGUUAAUAAAGGAAAAGCUUCAAAGAUGAUAGGAGGAUUCCUUUCUUAAUUCCCA